RNAcentral lists this ribosomal RNA (411 nucleotides) under uncultured bacterium. RNAcentral's name for it is "bacterial SSU rRNA". It matches the Rfam family "Bacterial small subunit ribosomal RNA", at positions 32 to 423 of the family's 1533-position model. The record is from RNAcentral.
AAUCAACGCUGGCGGCGUGCCUCAGACAUGCAAGUCGAACGCGAAAGUCCCCUUCGGGGGACAAGUAGAGUGGCGCACGGGUGAGUAACACGUAGGUAAUCUACCUUCGGAUGGGGAAUAACAACCGGAAACGGUUGCUAAUACCGCAUAAUGCAGCGGCACCUAAUGGUGACAGUUGUUAAAGCGGGGGAUUGAAAGACCUCGCGUCUGAAGAGGAGCCUGCGGCGGAUUAGCUUGUUGGAGGGUAACGGCCUACCAAGGCGACGAUCCGUAGCCGGCCUGAGAGGGCGGUCGGCCACACUGACACUGACAUACGGGUCAGACUCCUACGGGAGGCAGCAGUCGGGAAUUUUGGGCAAUGGGCGAAAGCCUGACCCAGCAACGCCGCGUGAAGGAUGAAAUCCCUCGGGA